GACGUAGGGGGCCAGCGUUGUUCGGAAUUACUGGGUGUAAAGGGUUCGUAGGCGGUGUAGCAAGUCGGGAGUGAAAUCUCUGGGCUUAACCCAGAGGCUGCUUCCGAAACUGCUGUGCUUGAGUGUGGGAGAGGCGCGUGGAAUUGCAGGUGUAGCGGUGAAAUGCGUAGAUAUCUGGAGGAACACCGGUGGCGAAGGCGGCGUUCUGGACUGUAACUGACACUGAGAAACGAAAGCCAGGGUAGCAAACGGG
This 253-nucleotide ribosomal RNA is filed under the name uncultured bacterium. RNAcentral's name for it is "partial 16S ribosomal RNA". It matches the Rfam family "Bacterial small subunit ribosomal RNA", at positions 524 to 776 of the family's 1533-position model. The record is from RNAcentral.